UCAGUAAGCGGAGGAAAAGAAACUAACCAGGAUUCUCCUAGUAACGGCGAGUGAACGGAGAUUAGCCCAUCACCGAAGUCCAUUCACUAUUGUGGACAGGACAAUGUGGUGUUUGGGCAUGCACCUGGGAGCGCUUGCCUACUCGAAGUCCAUCUCCGAUUCUGGCCUGGACUUGACCCAUAGCGGGUGAAAGGCCCGUGCGGGUAGGCUAUUGUUGCAAUAAGCGAUCCUCAGAUGUGCAUGCCCUCGAGUCGGAUUGCUUGAGAAUGCAGUCCAAAGUGGGUGGUAAACUCCAUCCAAGGCUAAAUACUGGCACGAGUCCGAUAGUAGACAAGUACCGUGAGGGAAAGUUGAAAAGUACUCUGAAGAGAGAGUAAAUAGCACGUGAAGCCGCUUGCAGGGAAGCUGGUGGAGUCAAGCUUCAUGUCGGGAGAAUUGCCGCGAGAGUGUCAGUGUGGCGGGACGUGAUGCCGGUUAACCUGGAAACGGUUUGGUGCAGUAACAUGCACUUCAAGUCGCUCCGGGUAGAGUGUUUGUGCCGGCAUCUAUCUCCCUGCUCUUGCGGUUUAUUCUCCCUGGCAUACAUCACAGUCAAUAGGAUAAUGUGCACACGUGCUGUGUGAGCGCUUAACCGUGCCUUUGUGGACUUAACCGUCUGCUUGACAUGGAAUGGCAGAAGGCAUGUGUGAACCUCCGGUUCUCACUAUGCGUAUUGUGGUUUUGACCUGCUAGCGCUCAUGUACAGUAUCAGUCCUAUUGGUCAUAUGCGAUGCUU
This 775-nucleotide ribosomal RNA is filed under the name Dactylogyrus sp. ASCL. RNAcentral's name for it is "partial large subunit ribosomal RNA". It matches the Rfam family "Eukaryotic large subunit ribosomal RNA", at positions 43 to 624 of the family's 3401-position model. Lineage: Eukaryota; Metazoa; Platyhelminthes; Monogenea; Dactylogyridea; Dactylogyridae. The record is from RNAcentral.